GAUGAACGCUGACAGAAUGCUUAACACAUGCAAGUCAACUUGACUAGUUUACUAGUUGGGUGGCGCACGGGUGAGUAACGCGUGAAGAACUUGCCUCUUAGACUGGGACAACUAUUAGAAAUGAUAGCUAAUACCGGAUAGUAUCAAUGUAUGGCAUCAUAUAUUGAUGAAAGAUAUAUUCGCUAAGAGAGAGCUUCGCGUCCCAUUAGCUAGUUGGUGGUGUAACGGACCACCAAGGUGACGAUGGGUAGCCGGCCUGAGAGGGUGGACGGCGACAAGGGGACUGAGACACGGCCCUUACUCCUACGGGAGGCAGCAGUGGGGAAUAUUGGACAAUGGGCGAACUGCCUGAUCCAGCAAUUCUAUGGGAAUGAAGAAGGCUUUCGGGUCGUAAAGUUCUUUCGGCAGGGAAGAAGAAAGUGACGGUACCUGCAUAAGAAGCGACGGCUAAUUACGUGCCAGCAGCCGCCGUAA
This 474-nucleotide ribosomal RNA is filed under the name uncultured bacterium. Its description in RNAcentral is "partial 16S ribosomal RNA". It matches the Rfam family "Bacterial small subunit ribosomal RNA", at positions 28 to 523 of the family's 1533-position model. The record is from RNAcentral.